Long non-coding RNA from Mauremys mutica (yellowpond turtle), 456 nucleotides. RefSeq lists it as uncharacterized. The record is from RefSeq and is a predicted model, not a curated record. The transcript is spliced from 3 exons. Lineage: Eukaryota; Metazoa; Chordata; Testudines; Geoemydidae.
GUUAAUCAGAGACUCCCUGAUCUGUUCUGCUUUGCUCAGAAUGGUGCCCCAAGCAAGAUGAAGCACUUAUUAGUGGCCAUGAGUAGGGAAGGAAAGGUAAUCUUUAAAUGGGCCAAAGGUUUUCCUUUCCCUGCUGGCCCAGACACAGCUCUUUUACCUUUUGUGCUGCAGACGGUGGAGGAGAGAGGUACUUCCAGACCAACAAUCUAUCAGAACUCUCCAGGAAAGACUGAAAUAGGGAAAAGAGCAGGCAUAGAAAGAACACAGAAACUGAAAAGUUAAGAUGAGAAAGGACAGAGUGAAAAAUAAGAGAGAGAGAAAAAAAAGAUACAGAAAAGGAGAGACAGAAAACUCGGAUAAAAAUACUUCAUACGUACCAUAUGUUGAGUGCAAGUGUACAGAAUAAUAUCCCAUGGCAGUGAACAGGAAGAUGAAACUCAAUAAAAACUGGGGAUG